Molecule: ribosomal RNA, 111 nt
Filed under: Carlito syrichta (Philippine tarsier)
Lineage: Eukaryota; Metazoa; Chordata; Mammalia; Primates; Tarsiidae
Source: RNAcentral
UCCUAUGGCCAUACCACCCUGGAUGUGCCCAAUUUUGUCUGGUUUUUGAAGCACUGGGCCUGUUUAGUACUUGGAUAAGACACCACCUGGGAAUACCAAGUGUUGUAGGUC